This 23-nucleotide microRNA is filed under the name Mus musculus (house mouse). RNAcentral's name for it is "mmu-miR-7036a-3p". Lineage: Eukaryota; Metazoa; Chordata; Mammalia; Rodentia; Muridae. The record is from miRBase by way of RNAcentral.
CCGUCCUCAUCCGCUCCUCCCAG